AGGGUAUUUGCAGAGCACCAGUCUGGCAAGCCAGAGUGAGUGUGUGUUCGCUCAGUGCCUCCGCUGCUAUUUCUACUCCUCACUGGGAAUUUACCAACGGAACAUGUUUCCAGCCACCUUCAAAGGGAAUUCCAUGUUACAAUGUCUGACGUAGACUCAUCAGAGGCUGCUGCCAACCUGUUGAGUGAAGCAGAGGAUUUGCCAGGCAAGACGGCUUGGAAGAUUCCUGUGCUCUCUCACCUUGGUGAGAUACAUGCAGUGUCCCUUUGGACUGUCUCUUUUCCUAACAAGCUGCCAUGAUGAGAGAGACAGACCACAGCCCAGUCAUGUUCCUGUCAGCAGGGCAGCUGGGGCUAGGCUACACAUGCUGGACAUUGUGAAUGAAAGUCCCAAGCAGACCUGGGUUCAAAUCCUAUUAAAAGCGUUCAAACACUUGGAGCAUUUGCUUGAGUCUGCCUGGAGUGCCAGGUGGUGGGUGGGACUUUUCAGUUGGUUCCAUUGCAUCAGGAAAUCUCAUCAAGCGCCGGCUAAAGCAUUUGAAAUGAUUCUCAACACUAUUUGAACCCAGCGCUGGCCCUAAGGCAGGAAACCCAUCUGAUUUGUUUCAGGAUGUAAUAAGGUCUUCCUAAGGGCCUGUGUUUGGGGUGCGAUCGGUGGAGGGAAAUGUGUUUCUGCAGCAUUGAAUCCCUGAUGAGCUAGAUGACGUUAUGCUCAUUGUUUUGAUAAAACGUUUAAACCCAAGCAACUCUAAUGAACUUGUGUGCAGUGGCGUACCACAUUUUCCUUCCAUAGACAAGCAAUGGGAGCACACUCUUGAGUUUGAAGUCUUGUGUCACUGUCGCAGAAAUGAAGGAUAUUCAUUAGAAGUCAAUUAAGUUUCUAUCAGUGUAGUUACAGUAGAUUGUGUCCCUGUCAUGUUCAAUGCAGUGUUUGCGGUUCAUUUAUUAGCGCACAUGACAUGAGCGCAAAGCAAAAAUAUGUC
Oncorhynchus tshawytscha (Chinook salmon) is the source of this 982-nucleotide long non-coding RNA. The record is from Ensembl. NCBI's taxonomy places the organism in Eukaryota, Metazoa, Chordata, Actinopteri, Salmoniformes, Salmonidae.